Molecule: ribosomal RNA, 547 nt
Filed under: uncultured bacterium
Lineage: Bacteria
Description: bacterial SSU rRNA
Rfam family: Bacterial small subunit ribosomal RNA
Source: RNAcentral
AAUAGAUACCCCGGUAGUCCACCCCGUAAACGUUGGGAACUAGUUGUGGGGUCCUUUCCACGGAUUCCGUGACGCAGCUAACGCAUUAAGUUCCCCGCCUGGGGAGUACGGCCGCAAGGCUAAAACUCAAAGGAAUUGACGGGGACCCGCACAAGCGGCGGAGCAUGCGGAUUAAUUCGAUGCAACGCGAAGAACCUUACCAAGGCUUGACAUACACCAGAACACCCUAGAAAUAGGGGACUCUUUGGACACUGGUGAACAGGUGGUGCAUGGUUGUCGUCAGCUCGUGUCGUGAGAUGUUGGGUUAAGUCCCGCAACGAGCGCAACCCUCGUUCUAUGUUGCCAGCACGUAAUGGUGGGAACUCAUGGGAUACUGCCGGGGUCAACUCGGAGGAAGGUGGGGAUGACGUCAAAUCAUCAUGCCCCUUAUGUCUUGGGCUUCACGCAUGCUACAAUGGCCGGUACAAAGGGCUGCAAUACCGUGAGGUGGAGCGAAUCCCAAAAACGCCGGUCCCGAGUUCGGAUUGAAGUCUGCAACUCGACCUCA